AUUGAACGCUGGCGGAAUGCUUUACACAUGCAAGUCGAACGGCAGCAUAGAGAGCUUGCUCUCUGAUGGCGAGUGGCGAACGGGUGAGUAAUAUAUCGGAACGUACCCAGUAAUGGGGGAUAACGAAUCGAAAGAUUCGCUAAUACCGCAUACGCCCUACGGGGGAAAGCGGGGGAUCGUAAGACCUCGCGUUAUUGGAGCGGCCGAUAUCUGAUUAGCUAGUUGGUGAGGUAAAGGCUCACCAAGGCGACGAUCAGUAGCUGGUCUGAGAGGACGACCAGCCACACUGGAACUGAGACACGGUCCAGACUCCUACGGGAGGCAGCAGUGGAGAAUUUUGGACAAUGGGGGCAACCCUGAUCCAGCCAUUCCGCGUGAGUGAAGAAGGCCUUCGGGUUGUAAAGCUCUUUCGCAAGGGAAGAAAACUUAUCUACUAAUACUAGGUGAGGCUGACGGUACCUUGAUAAGAAGCACCGGCUAACUACGUGCCAGCAGCCGCCGCUG
Molecule: ribosomal RNA, 504 nt
Filed under: uncultured bacterium
Lineage: Bacteria
Description: partial 16S ribosomal RNA
Rfam family: Bacterial small subunit ribosomal RNA
Source: RNAcentral